Molecule: RNA transcript, 3164 nt
Organism: Dreissena polymorpha
Lineage: Eukaryota; Metazoa; Mollusca; Bivalvia; Myida; Dreissenidae
Exons: 14
Source: RefSeq, a predicted model, not a curated record
CAGUCGCUGCUGAGUCAGGACAAGGAUGCCAAGGAUGUGGUGGACAAGGAUGACCUGAAUACACAGAAGGUGAGCCCCGGUUUUGAUAUAGAGUUGGUACGGCAACGGCACCAGUCGGGCCCGCAGAAGCCUCAAGUCAAGCACGACCCCUCCCCUGACCCCAAGCUUCUCCCAUUUGACAUCCAGCUUCAAAGGGUCAUCAUCGUUGAACAAAUUCCUCCUAUAGAAAAUUUUGAGCACAAAGAGUUUUCACACAUGGUUCUCAACAACCACAAUUUUCGUGUCGAGUGAUCCGCACUUGAGCCUGUUUGGUUUGUUAGACCCGAGUGCCGGAGAUGGGACAACCGUUACAGACACAAGGACUUAUUGCAGCAGUUAUGGCAACAUGUACAGUCAGUUCUCAAUGUUGGACUUCACAACUAAUAUCACGAUAAAUACAAAGUUGGAUAACUCGUUCCAUUCUUUUUGGGACAAAGAAUACAACGGAAAGUAACAAGAGAAAAUCAAGGAAUAUUUGUAGAGUUUUAGUCGGAAGUGUAUGCUUACCACUGGCAUACUCCUGGACAGUCGUAACUUUACGGACAGUCCCGGUUCGUCCUCACAGGUGUCCAAACUGGCCAAAGAGAACGCACUUUUGACGCAGUUGCUAACAAAGAAAGGCAGCACCGACUUUGUUGUGAACACUCAUAGCAUCCAUGGCCAUGCCUCAGGCGGGAAGUUCGACCAACAGCUGAAACAAGGUGCUAAAGGUGAACCCAUCAGGGUUUGUAACUACCCACUCCAAUCCUAAACAGCCUGGCAUUGAGUUGGCGCUUGAGAAGGCGUUGAAAAAUGACAGCAGUUAUGUUGUGUGGUCCAGUAUGCCCUUUGGCUCUCAACCCGAUGUUAGGUAGAACUCAAACUGGGCCCUUAGCAAUAUCAGCGAGGCUAGAAUGUCAUCUCUGCAUCUUGAGCUUCAAAUAAAUAUGGCAACACUUCCAACAGCUGAGCCUUGGUGAGUUCAACUUUCAUCCGACGAGUCACUCGAGGUGAAACAAUCUGAUCCACAGAUAGAGCAGGCGCUGAGUGACUCGCCUGUUUAGGUGACUGACCUCCAUAUGUUGCUCACCAAUAAUGUGAACCUGACUGAGGAGCAGUGUUGUCCUACAUUCCCUGUUCAGGGCGGUGACUUUGGCGUCAAGACUCACACAAUCUCUGGCUAUGGCCCUAUCGCAGCAGCAGCAAAAACAGGAAGACCCCAUGCAGUCACACAUCUGUACACAGCGGACAACAAGAGGCUCUCUGGUCAGCUGGGCCCCUACAGGACCCCAUGCAGUCACACAUCUGUACACAGCGGACAACAAGAGGCUCUCUGGUCAGCUGGGCCCCUACAGGACCCCAUGCAGUCACACAUCUGUACACAGCGAACAACAACAGGCUCUCUGGUCAGCUGGGCCCCUACAGGACCCCAUGCAGUCACACAUCUGUACACAGCGGACAACAACAGGCUCUCUGGUCAGCUGGGCCCCUACAGGACCCCAUGCAGUCACACAUCUGUACACAGCGGACAACAACAGGCUCUCUGGUCAGCUGGGCCCCUACAGGACCCCAUGCAGUCACACAUCUGUACACAGCGGAACAAGAACAGGCUCUCUGGUCAGCUGGGCCCCUACAGGACCCCAUGCAGUCACACAUCUGUACACAGCGGACAACAACAGGCUCUCUGGUCAGCUGGGCCCCUACAGGACCCCAUGCAGUCACACAUCUGUACACAGCGGAACAAGAACAGGCUCUCUGGUCAGCUGGGCCCCUACAGGACCCCAUGCAGUCACACAUCUGUACACAGCGGAGAACAACAGGCUCUCUGGUCAGCUGGGCCUGGACGCCUGGGGACAAAUCCUUGGUAUAGGCGGUGAGCUCUUGGGCCAGGAAUUUGGGUCAAAGCUGAACGAGUCCUACCCCAAGGGUACAUCCAGUCUAACCAUGGGGCUCCAAACUUCCCUUCUCAGGGGCAGAUAUAACCUCAUCUACAAGGGUCCUUAUCAUCACAAGUUUGGACUAGCAAAUGAUGUUCCCCAGCAGCAACACAGCCACUGCAUCUCAACAGGUCCUCAGUCUCUCUUGCAACAACAAAAGCUGAAGUUGAAGUGUGAAAGAGAGAAAGAGUUGACAUGAAAUUGCUGCUUCAGCCUUAAUUGGAACAUCAGCAGCACCAGCAACAACAACACUUAAAAUUCAGCAAUCAACAGUUCGAUUGACGAAGGCUUUCAAAUGAAAACAUGUCAAUUUACAAAGCACCCUUCCCUGAAAAUCUGGCCAAGCUAAUAAACAAUGUGAAUGCACCAACGUGACCCUUCAGAGAAACAGGAUUCCAGGCUGAAUGUCAAACCGUCUGGGCUCCAGCAGCAGCCUCAGCCGUGGCGGUCAGGUUCAUGAUGCACCUAUGCUCUCAAUGCUCUCUGAACAUCUUAAUCUCACAGCAACAGUGGACCAACAUGACCUUCAAGUUGGGGAUGGUUGAGGGUCUCCCAAAACCACCCAGUGCCUUGCGAUGAAAACCUCCAACGGGACUGUGACCUUGCACUUGUACACACCUAAUGGUCAGGUUCAAGGUCACUUGGGCUUAGAUAGUCACUGCAGUAAAAAAGUGCAAGGUUUUAAAGUAAAGAAGAUGACUUAACAACAUGACAUCCGAGACUGCAGGGACGAAAUGACUCACGUCAGCAUAGGAAGCCAAGACACAAUACGAGAAUUUCCAGCGGCUUACCUGCUUAAAACCUGGGUAGCAGAGCAAUGAGUAUAUCCCAGGAGCAUUUGCAGUCACAGCAAGUGAACCAGCGGCAGUCAUCGUCUCUAGAUUCCGAGAUCCCCAUGCUUCACAACCCUCAGUCUAUGAACAUCAUGCAGAGCAAACCUUGGACGUCCAUUGACAAAAUCAAACCGGCAAAUCAGAAGGACAGCCUGUUGCUACAGAUGUUAUCAUAUUAACCCCAGUCAUACCGAAGAAGCUCAGAGAUAUAAAUGCUGUUUAAGAUGUGCUUGUCUCUGCAUACUCCAUGUCUGGUGUGAACAUGUACAAUUGAAGGUCUCUGAAUACCCCAUGUCUGGUGUGAACAUGUACAAUAGAAGGUCUCUACAUACUCCAUGUCAGGUGUGAACAUGUACAAUUGAAGGUCUCUACAUAC